RNAcentral lists this ribosomal RNA (498 nucleotides) under uncultured bacterium. RNAcentral's name for it is "partial 16S ribosomal RNA". It matches the Rfam family "Bacterial small subunit ribosomal RNA", at positions 28 to 507 of the family's 1533-position model. The record is from RNAcentral.
GACGAACGCUGGCGGCAUGCCUAAUACAUGCAAGUCGAACGAGGAUAUCCUCUGUUUGCAGAGAAUUGUAGGGUAGCGGACGGGAGAGUAACUUGUGGGGAAACUAACCCCCCGAGGGGGAUAAUAAUAGGAAAUGGAUGCUAAUAACGCAAAAUGCUUCGGACUGCGUGGUGCAGAGAUGGAAGAAGGUUUUUGGUGUCGCACAAGGCUGGCACCGCGCCGUAUGAGAUAGGGUGUGAGGGAAUGGCCUACCAAAGCUGGGAUAAGUAGCCGCUCUGAAAGGGUGAUUGGCUACCCUGGGACUGAGACACGGCCCAGACUCCUACGGUAGGCAGCGGUACGGAAUCUUCCGCAAUGGGCGAAAGCCGAAUAUAGCAAUGCCGCGUGAAUGAUGAAGGUCCUCUGCUCGGAAAGUGCUGUUAGUAGUGAAGAACAAAUGAAGUUGUACCUGUCAUGACUUUGACGGUACCUAACCAGAAAGUCACGGCUAACUACGUG